Molecule: ribosomal RNA, 423 nt
Filed under: uncultured bacterium
Lineage: Bacteria
Description: bacterial SSU rRNA
Rfam family: Bacterial small subunit ribosomal RNA
Source: RNAcentral
AAGACCUUGCGCUUUUGGAGCGGCCGAUGCCUGAUUAGCUUGUUGGUAAGGUAAAAGCUUACCAAGGCUUCGAUCAGUAGCUGGUCUGAGAGGACGACCAGCCACACUGGGACUGAGACACGGCCCAGACUCCUACGGGAGGCAGCAGUGGGGAAUUUUGGACAAUGGGGGCAACCCUGAUCCAGCCAUGCCGCGUGAGUGAAGAAGGUCUUCGGGUUGUAAAGCUCUUUCAGCCGGAACGAAACGGUUACGGUUAAUACCCAUGACUGCUGACGGUACCGGAAGAAGAAGCACCGGCUAACUACGUGCCAGCAGCCGCGGUAAUACGUAGGGUGCGAGCGUUAAUCGGAAUUACUGGGCGUAAAGCGUGCGCAGGUGGUUUUGUAAGUCAGAUGUGAAAGCCCCGGGCUCAACCUGGGAACU